Molecule: long non-coding RNA, 735 nt
Organism: Strongylocentrotus purpuratus (purple sea urchin)
Lineage: Eukaryota; Metazoa; Echinodermata; Echinoidea; Camarodonta; Strongylocentrotidae
Exons: 2
Source: RefSeq, a predicted model, not a curated record
UAGCUUGUGGCACAUUUCAUGAACUGAAUAGUCAUGAGUGAAGUAAAAAUAUUUUUCAAAUUUCUACUCUUGUCUAUAGCCUUUCAUCUCAACAUAUUUCUAAAGCUCUUACUGAACUCUUGAGAUAUACCUUUCACUUGAAAAAGAGGUGGAAUCUUCUUAAGAUUAGCACUUCAACUCUGUAAGUCUGUGAGCUUUGUGUAAUUCUUCAGUCAUAAUCUGUGAGUUUCAGUGCAUGCAAAGGACCAAUAAAACUCUGAAGCUAUAGAGACAGAAGUUUGAGAACCAAGAUUAGUUUUGGGGUGUGUCGGAAGUACAUGGCCUAUCCAUCAUCCUUCCUCAGACCAUGGACCUACUCAGACUCUCCUAAUUCAUCCAGAGGACCCAGUCUACAUUCAGAAUACCAUUUCUGUCAAUUCUCCAGAAGAUGCUAUUCAACUGACGAUAGCAGUGAUGUAACCCUCCUGUCCUGUCCUUGGCUAUGAGCUCUACUUCCACCACGUGGCCGGUAGAUCCAGGGUUCUUUAUCAUUACCUCGUGGUCCUCACUGUUCCACACCACGCCAGACAACAUGUGAUUCCGUAAGACAGCCUGUAAUGGACCUGAAUAUACAACCCUUAUAUCAUCGCAGGCUUGAGUGCCCUUUGCCUGAACUCAAAGUCCCCGCCUCGUUCGACCACGUGGUCCACACACAAGAUACCAGGAGGACGGGAUAGGGUAACGUUCAAGCAAAGG